GAUGAACGCUGGCGGCGUGCUUAACACAUGCAAGUCGAACGGAAAGGCUCCUGCUUGCAGGGGUACUCGAGUGGCGAACGGGUGAGUAACUCGUGGGUGAUCUGCCCUGCACUUCGGGAUAAGCCUGGGAAACUGGGUCUAAUACCGGAUAGGACGAUGGUUUGGAUGCCAUUGUGGAAAGUUUUUCGGUGUGGGAUGAGCUCGCGGCCUAUCAGCUUGUUGGUGGGGUAAUGGCCUACCAAGGCGUCGACGGGUAGCCGGCCUGAGAGGGUGUACGGCCACAUUGGGACUGAGAUACGGCCCAGACUCCUACGGGAGGCAGCAGUGGGGAAUAUUGCACAAUGGGCGCAAGCCUGAUGCAGCGACGCCGCGUGGGGGAUGACGGCCUUCGGGUUGUAAACUCCUUUCGCUAGGGACGAAGCGCAAGUGACGGUACCUGGAGAAGAAGCACCGGCUAACUACGUG
Molecule: ribosomal RNA, 465 nt
Filed under: uncultured bacterium
Lineage: Bacteria
Description: partial 16S ribosomal RNA
Rfam family: Bacterial small subunit ribosomal RNA
Source: RNAcentral